Molecule: ribosomal RNA, 1110 nt
Filed under: Paenibacillus mucilaginosus
Lineage: Bacteria; Bacillati; Bacillota; Bacilli; Caryophanales; Paenibacillaceae
Description: bacterial SSU rRNA
Rfam family: Bacterial small subunit ribosomal RNA
Source: RNAcentral
AUUCAUGGCGCGGCUCCCAUGCAGUCGAGCGGUAGGAGGUGUUGGGUCUGAUCCUAGCGGGCGACGGGGGAGUAAUGCUUACGAAUCUGGCAUGGAGUGGGGGACAACAUUCCGAAAGGGAUGCUAAUACCGCAUACGUCCUACGGGAGAAAGCAGGGGAUCUUCGGACCUUGCGCUAAAUGAUGAGCCUAAGUCGGAUUAGCUAGUUGGUGGGGUAAAGGCCUACCAAGGCGACGAUCUGUAGCGGGUCUGAGAGGAUGAUCCGCCACACUGGGACUGAGACACGGCCCAGACUACUACGGGAGGCAGCAGUGGGGAAUAUUGGACAAUGGGCGGAAGCCUGAUCCAGCCAUGCCGCGUGUGUGAAGAAGGCCUUUUGGUUGUAAAGCACUUUAAGCGAGGAGGAGGCUACCUGGAUUAAUACUCUGGGAUAGUGGACGUUACUCGCAGAAUAAGCACCGGCUAACUCUGUGCCAGCAGCCGCGGUAAUACAGAGGGUGCGAGCGUUAAUCGGAUUUACUGGGCGUAAAGCGUGCGUAGGCGGCUGAUUAAGUCGGAUGUGAAAUCCCUGAGCUUAACUUAGGAAUUGCAUUCGAUACUGGUCAGCUAGAGUAUGGGAGAGGAUGGUAGAAUUCCAGGUGUAGCGGUGAAAUGCGUAGAGAUCUGGAGGAAUACCGAUGGCGAAGGCAGCCAUCUGGCCUAAUACUGACGCUGAGGUACGAAAGCAUGGGGAGCAAACAGGAUUAGAUACCCUGGUAGUCCAUGCCGUAAACGAUGUCUACUAGCCGUUGGGGCCUUUGAGGCUUUAGUGGCGCAGCUAACGCGAUAAGUAGACCGCCUGGGAGUACGGUCGCAAGACUAAAACUCAAAUGAAUUGACGGGGCCCGCACAGCGUGGAGCAUGUGGUUUAUUCGAUGCAACGCGAAACCCUACCUGGCCUUGACAUAUAAAACUUUCAGAGAUGGAUUGUGCCUCGGAAUCUACAUACAGGUGCUGCAUGCUGUCGUCAGCUCUGUCGUGAGAUGUGGUAGUCCGCACGAGCGCCACCUUUCUACUGGCAGCAUUUCUGAUGGACUUAGGAACUGCCAUGAAACUGAAGAAGCGGACACU